RNAcentral lists this ribosomal RNA (460 nucleotides) under uncultured Rhodocyclaceae bacterium. Its description in RNAcentral is "bacterial SSU rRNA". It matches the Rfam family "Bacterial small subunit ribosomal RNA", at positions 923 to 1382 of the family's 1533-position model. Lineage: Bacteria; Pseudomonadati; Pseudomonadota; Betaproteobacteria; Rhodocyclales; Rhodocyclaceae. The record is from RNAcentral.
GCACAAGCGGUGGAUGAUGUGGAUUAAUUCGAUGCAACGACGAAAACCUUACCUACCCUUGACAUGUCCGGAAUCCCGAAGAGAUUUGGGAGUGCUCGCAAGAGAACCGGAACACAGGUGCUGCAUGGCUGUCGUCAGCUCGUGUCGUGAGAUGUUGGGUUAAGUCCCGCAACGAGCGCAACCCUUGUCAUUAGUUGCCAUCAUUUGGUUGGGCACUCUAAUGAGACUGCCGGUGACAAACCGGAGGAAGGUGGGGAUGACGUCAAGUCCUCAUGGCCCUUAUGGGUAGGGCUUCACACGUCAUACAAUGGUCGGUACAGAGGGUUGCCAACCCGCGAGGGGGAGCUAAUCCCACAAAGCCGAUCGUAGUCCGGAUCGCAGUCUGCAACUCGACUGCGUGAAGUCGGAAUCGCUAGUAAUCGUGGAUCAGCAUGUCACGGUGAAUACGUUCCCGGGUCUU